UUUGGAGUUGAUUACUGGGUUUUUACUGUAGUCUCUAUGAGCUAUACAAAGUCUGAAGUCAUUGUACGUACAGUACACCUUUAAUAAGAAGGGAGCUCACAGUCUACCAAACUCUGCCAAAUAAACCUUUAAUACAUACUGUACUUCACUCAGUAGCUGUCCAUCUCUUCUUCAUGGAAUAUCUAACAGCUCUAAAAAUAUUUUCUUGGAAGAGGAUAGAAUUAUCAUUGUUAUAUAUCAAUCAAGUAUGGUUAAUGAAGCAAAGCCAGCAUGCUAGUAUUGCACAAGGGGAAAAGCCUCCAGAACACAAAGUGGAACAACAAAUGCCCUCAACAUUCUGCCAAAGGGAACAGGAAGCUCUGGAUGCCACAUCGGUAGGAUUCAGGUAGCUCUUAGGCAUCCUUGUACCGCAGCAGGUUUGCUUUGCCUCUUCACUGCCACAUUUCUCUCUGAAACACGUAGGGAUCUUCCAGACCAUUACAAAAAAGAAGAAAAAAAUUUACAGCAGCUGCAGCAAAGUGUGGUACUAUUCAAUUUCUUGAAGAGUGAGGCUUUUAUUUCAAAAUAUCAUAUAUUAAUAUAUAUAUAUUUCUAUAUAUAUACUUUAACUGGUAUAAAGUAAAUUGUAGAUCCAAACUUAGACUGUUGUUUGUACUUCGCAAUCUUGGAAACUUUACCAAAGGAACCAUUUUCUUCCUUUUUAUUUUCAGCUGUCAAAAAUCAGGGGCAUUAUUUCCACCGAAUACUUGCUUUCACACAAUAAAGCCACUGUUGUUAUCUGGUAAACAGUCAAAGUGCAAAUAAGAAAUCCAUUUGGCUUGUAAAUGCUGAGAUGGUUUUAAACUUUCAAUACUUUGUCCUCAAAAAUCAGCAGGGCUUUCACUGUCUCCUUGCAGACGGCGCUCUGUUAGGUCCUUGGGUGACUUACUCUGGUGGUCUUGAUUUUAUUGCCAGUUGCACACAUCCAUCCAGAAUUAUCAGGCAACGUCUUACAUUCCUCUCCUUCUAGGCAGGGCUCCAUCUCACACCACCAUUUCC
RNAcentral lists this long non-coding RNA (1038 nucleotides) under Strigops habroptila (Kakapo). RNAcentral describes it as "lncRNA (ENSSHBG00005011489.1)". The record is from RNAcentral. Lineage: Eukaryota; Metazoa; Chordata; Aves; Psittaciformes; Psittacidae.